GGUAAGGUGAUAUGAACCGUUAUAACCGGCGAUACCCGAAUGGGGAAACCCAGUGUGAUUCGUCACACUAUCAUUAACUGAAUCCAUAGGUUAAUGAGGCGAACCGGGGGAACUGAAACAUCUAAGUACCCCGAGGAAAAGAAAUCAACCGAGAUUCCCCCAGUAGCGGCGAGCGAACGGGGAGGAGCCCAGAGCCUGAAUCAGCAUGUGUGUUAGUGGAAGCGUCUGGAAAGGCGCGCGAUACAGGGUGACAGCCCCGUACACAAAAGCGCAUGUGCUGUGAGCUCGAUGAGUAGGGCGGGACACGUGGUAUCCUGUCUGAAUAUGGGGGGACCAUCCUCCAAGGCUAAAUACUCCUGACUGACCGAUAGUGAACCAGUACCGUGAGGGAAAGGCGAAAAGAACCCCGGCGAGGGGAGUGAAAAAGAACCUGAAACCGUGUACGUACAAGCAGUGGGAGC
Molecule: ribosomal RNA, 461 nt
Filed under: Salmonella enterica
Lineage: Bacteria; Pseudomonadati; Pseudomonadota; Gammaproteobacteria; Enterobacterales; Enterobacteriaceae
Description: bacterial LSU rRNA
Rfam family: Bacterial large subunit ribosomal RNA
Source: RNAcentral